This 745-nucleotide long non-coding RNA is filed under the name Ursus maritimus (polar bear). RNAcentral describes it as "lncRNA (ENSUMAG00000011358.1)". The record is from RNAcentral. Lineage: Eukaryota; Metazoa; Chordata; Mammalia; Carnivora; Ursidae.
UGGGUAUUUUUUAUACAAUUCUUUCUAAUUUCGUUUUUUGUUUUUUUGACGUUUUCCAUAGUAAAACUGAUCAGUGGAAACAGGCAAAGUAGAAAUCAAUUCAGCCCGGUUCUCAUAGAUGGAAAGAUGUGGAAAAAGUUACCGCAAAGCAGACUGUCUUGCUGUGCUUGUCAUUGUGCACAGGGCAAUGCCGGCACAUCUGACGUCAGCGAUCACACCUCUCAUGAUGUGACCUCGGUGGAAGGAAGGGCUGCUGGAUGACCUUCUAAGAAGCCUUCUCUGGUAGCCUGAGUUGUACCAGUGGGCUACUCACUAGUGGCAAGUUGCUUAAUUUCUCUGAGCCUUAGGAGUCUGCAUUGCUGAAAUGAUUAUCUACCUUGCAGGUCCGUCGUGGAGAUUAAGUGAGAUGAUGCUUGUAAAGUUACCUGGCCCAUAACAGGUACUCAACAAAUGGCAAUAAUUGUGAUGUGCUUCGUCCCCUGCAGGGGCUACAGAGCAGGUGAAUGAGAGAGUCCAUCCUGCAAGAAACUGCAGACCAGCCCGUGACUACCUGCUUUUGGCUUCACUUGCCCUGUAGUGAGCUGAAGCAGAUUUUCACAAAUGUGAAUGGAAAAUUUCUAGAUGUUUUUAGAUCCUGACACCAUUAUGUCAUCCAAGUCCUCAGUUAGCAUUUGAAUAGCUCAUCCUGAAGGCCCAGAGGGCAUCAGCACAGAGCCUUUCCAGAUACAACUUUUUUAUACUUCAU